UGGACGAAAGUCUGACCGAGCGACGCCGCGUGUGGGAUGAAGGUCUUCGGAUUGUAAACCACUGUCGAGGGGGAUUAAGGGAAACUUGAAAGAACCCUGGAGGAAGGGGAGGCUAAGCUCGUGCCAGCAGCCGCGGUAAGACGAGCUCCCCAAACGUUAUUCGGCAUUACUGGGCUUAAAGAGUUCGUAGGCGGCGAAGUAGGUGAGGUGUGAAAGCCCUCGGCUCAACCGAGGAACUGCGCUUCAAACCACUUUGCUAGAGGGAGAUAGGGGUAAGCGGAACAGAUGGUGGAACGGUGAAAUGUAUUGAUAUCAUCUGGAACACCGGUGGCGAAAGCGGCUUACUGGGUCUUUUCUGACGCUGAGGAACGAAAGCUAGGGUAGCGAACGGGAUUAGAUACCCCGGUAGUCCUAGCCGUAAACGAUGAGCACUAGUCUGAGGGACUUUCACGGUUUCUCGGACGUAGCGAAAGUGUUAAGUGCUCCGCCUGGGGA
RNAcentral lists this ribosomal RNA (495 nucleotides) under uncultured bacterium. Its description in RNAcentral is "bacterial SSU rRNA". It matches the Rfam family "Bacterial small subunit ribosomal RNA", at positions 372 to 879 of the family's 1533-position model. The record is from RNAcentral.